Molecule: ribosomal RNA, 235 nt
Filed under: uncultured prokaryote
Description: partial 16S ribosomal RNA
Rfam family: Bacterial small subunit ribosomal RNA
Source: RNAcentral
UACGAAGGGGGCUAGCGUUGCUCGGAAUCGCUGGGCGUAAAGCGCACGUAGGCGGCUUGUUAAGUCAGGGGUGAAAUCCUGGAGCUCAACUCCAGAACUGCCUUUGAUACUGGCGAGCUUGAGUUCGGGAGAGGUGAGUGGAACUGCGAGUGUAGAGGUGAAAUUCGUAGAUAUCGGGAGGAACACCUGUGGCGAAGGCGGCUCACUGGCCCGGUACUGACGCUGAGGUGCGAAA